Molecule: long non-coding RNA, 4846 nt
Organism: Perca fluviatilis (European perch)
Lineage: Eukaryota; Metazoa; Chordata; Actinopteri; Perciformes; Percidae
Exons: 3
Source: RefSeq, a predicted model, not a curated record
GAGAAAAGGAAACACAACCUGUUGCCGGUCUCAUCAUUCUCCUGUUCUUUUUCAGCAACGCACCAUCGAUACUAAUUACACCACAAAUCUGGCGACGAGGAUUUCGGGACGUGAUGCGGGCCGGUCUCAACGUUCCAGCACGGGCACGGUCGACCUGAUUUCCGCUCCGUUGGUUGAUAAAGGUGAGAAUGUAGAAAGAGAAGUAAGAAACCUCGAUGGAUGUCAGAGCGGACCUGUCUCACUCCCCCAACGAGCUACAGAACCAGUGAUGGACAAUACCAGACCCUGAACUACAGGACCUCAAUCCAACAGACACAGUAUUCAGCGCUCCACUUUGGCCCCAUCCCCCACAUACUUGCAUCAGAAACACAUCUGGAGUUGGAGCAGCAGAAAAGGAGGGGUGACAGAUUUGCAACUGCCCAUGAUUGAGUGGUUGAAGCGGACACCCAGAUGGUUUUCAGGGCAUGAUCAGAGACUGACAUUAAAGAAGCAAUGUCAUACAUGCCCACAAAGUACUUUGUUGAACAUUCACAGAUGAACUGAAGUUUGAGGAGUUCAGCCCAACUUCACCUGGACUCAGAAGAUGUAUGAUGUUGAAAUUGAUAAAGACCUUUACAGAUCAGUGCUGACAAUAGAACAAAGUGAGGCAGUGAUCACUCAGGAGGGUGAUUAUUGCAUCAGAGAUGAAGAUGAACGAAUAAUAGAGAGAAGACAAGCAGAAACGACCAAAGAUGAAUCCAAACUCCAAAAGUAAGAAGAAAACGACACGUCUGGAAACUAAUGGUAAAGUGAGGUUCAGAAGGAUGGAGUUUGAAGAUGAUGAUGAUCAGAGUGAUUCAGAAGAGAUCAUGGGUGAAUAUGAUCCUGUGAUCAGAAGGAGGCUGGCCAGAGCGGUGAAAAGAGGUGAUGAAAAAUGGAGAAAACAAAAAGAUACAAGAGAUCACACUUCUGAUGAAAGUAAAGAUGAAGACAGUGAUGAAGAUUUGGAGAGGAGAGGAGCUACGGGAUUUCAUCCUGCAGCGUCUAGCAUAGAAGAGAUUGAAAGAGACAUGGAGCGAUUGGAAGAGCAAUACAAGAAGCUGAAGAUACAGAGAGACAAAUCGCUGAAAAAAGGAUCCCAAAAAGUGGAGAGAAAGUCAAGAAAAGGGAAGACAAGUGAAAAGAUGCUUUCAGUGCUAAUUCAAGAACAGAAUAUGUCAGAUAUUCUUGAUAAGUUACCUGUUCUUCAAGAUGGAGCACAUCCUUGGAUCCUAAAGUUGGAAGAAAUUAUGGUGGGAAAACAGUAUGCCAUGGGAGACAUUAAGAGACUUUUGACGAAUCUUAUUGGGAUUCCGGCAAUGGAAGAAAUUCUACAGAAAGCUAGACUUAAUCGAUAUGUGGGAACUGUUAUAUAUGAUCCUGAACUGCCGCAAAUAAAGGUUGAUUGUGGAGAGCACUGAAAGAUAUGUUUCCAACAAAUGUGCAUCCGGACAAUAUUCUAAUUGAGCCACUGAAACAAGAAGAAAAACCAAGAGCUUAUGUGUCGAGAGCUUAUCAGGUGUGGAGAAAUAUUACCGGAAAUGAUCCAGAUGUGAGUCAAGUGGAGCAGUCAAUUUUGCGAGCCAAACUACAGAAGGGGCUGCCCGCACCAGUGAGGAGCAAACUGGAAGAGGUGGUUGGACUUGGAAGCAUGGCAAAAAAUGUCUAUGCAGAUCAUGUAGCUCACCAAGUAGAGCUAUAUAGGAAAAAGGAACAUGAGCAGAAAGAACAAGACCAAGAAACUCCCAGAAAAUUCAAUCAAAUGCAGCUGGUGGAAGAUAAGAAGGACAAGAAGCAAGCACUGGUUAUGCAAAAUCAGUGUUCACCAAAUCAACAGUCACCAUUAGUGAUUCCAGUUGUUCAGAACUGGAGAGGAAGAGGAAGAGGACGAGCUGGAAGAUAUGAUCCAUAUUUUAUAUCUUCACAAGCGUGUUUCAAUUGUGGACAGGAUAGCCACUUUGCCCGUGAUUGCAAUAUACCAGGAUGGAAUCCUAGAGGAAAUUACAGAAAAGGAUUCAGGGGCCAGUUAAGGCCAUUUGGAGGACCGAUGAACCCUCAUAGGAGUCUGGAGCCAGGAUUCUAGAGGUGCCCAGAAGAUCUGAAAGGAGGUGUCAUCAGGGCCAGAAAGAAAUCUAACAAUUGAGGACAAGGACAGUCACAAGUUGGUACAGAUCCCCACAGAUGAGCGUGGACAUCAGCUGACUGACCAGAGAAGGAGGGGAGAGAGACCGGAUUUACUCUGGCGCAUCGACGCAUCAACGCAUAAUGACGAAUAGAAAGUAGGUAAUGCACUGGCAACACACAUUUUGAAAAUACAUAUACUCUAAAGAAGUAAUUGGUUCUACUUUUAAAAUAGAGUUACUCUUAUGUGAACACGUCUAUAUGAAGGGUUAAGAUAUGCCUCUAAAUUAAGCAACUUGGUAUGAAAUCUUAUAUUUUGUCAGUACCUGGUGAUAUGCAUUCUAUUAAAUUUUAAAUGACCUGUGACAGUUUCUAACACGAUUAGUGACAAACAUGUUAUUUCAGUUGGUGUGUUAGGAAAUGUUAAAAGAACAUUUCCUCGUUUUAUUUUUGUGCUCCAAUGACAUAAGCAACUUUUGAAUAUACUUCUAUUAUUUGAGUGCUGCUCAGAUAAUUUAUUGGGAAGUGAUCUAAUGUAUAAAUUUGAAUUGGAUUAAUGUAAAGUUGUUAAAAACAGCAGCUUGAGAGUGCUGUUCUCAAAAUUGGGUUAAGAAUAAGCUUAGAACAAUUGUGUGACUAUUAGUGAAAAUAGCCUGACAUUAACAUCAGUAAACUGUUCUUGGAUGUAGUUUGUAAAUGUACCUUUUAUCUAUAACACAAAAAGAAGGGCAAGGUGUAUCACGAGUGUCAUUAGGACCAUAUGGAAUACAUGAAAACAGUAGCAGUAUAAUGUGAGAAAAGAUAAGACAACUUCCACUCACAGAUAUAUCUUGGUCAAAUGAAAAGUUUUUACAUUGGUUAAUUUGUUGUUUACAGUGUACCAGUAAUCUGUUCAUAUCAUUCUUUCUAAGUACAGAUUCGCGAACGGAAAUCAGUUAUCACAGCCCAAUGAUGGAUCAGCAUCUUUUGUCAAUUAUAUAGAGGUUUAGAAAUCUGAUUUGAAUUUCACUAUUCUGCAUAAGUUGCAGUGGUGUUACUGAAGCCUGCCUGGUUAGAAGGUAAAAUAACUUACGAAGACUCCAGAGUGGAGCUGUGCAAUUCAUUGAAUUUUAAUAGAGAUUACAAUUUUGGCUUAUUAAUUACAGAAACAAUGUUAAGGGAGAGGAACGAUUGUUCUGCACAUUACAUUUGCGAGUAGACUUGGUAUGAAGAGUUUAGGAUAAAUUUCACAGUUUAAGAUGUUACAUUGAUGUGUUGAGAUGUUAGUUUAAGUAUCAGUCUAAAUUUCAAUGAUGGUUUGCAUUGAGCAAUGAGAAUUCAGUAUUGACUAAUAUAUGCAUGGUUAUAAUUUUAUGAUGUGGCAAGGUGGCUAUGUUACUUUUCGGCCUCAGUCCAGUUCAUACAGGAAUGUCAAGUAGAUGAGGUUGAAAGAAGGGGUGUAUAACAUAAGGAGAUCUAUUACACCCACUAUCUGUUAAAUAAACAGUGAAGAGAGACAAUGCACGCUUUCGUAAUCUUGAAUCCUAUCAUUUGAGGAUAAAUCUAGGAGUAUUGUUGAAAAGAUAUCCAUUUUUAUUUGCUUUUGCCGUCAUUUUCACAUUUCUUUGAAUAUUGUUUAGUGUUUUUUAUUCAUCAAAGGGGGGAAAUGGAAUGUGAUUCAUGUGAUUCCUAUGUGAUUCAUAUCAUUCAUAUUAUUUUUGAUUCAUUCAUAGUAAUUUUGAUAUUUUAUUUGAUGUUUUCUUUUAUGUGUUGUUUUGCAAAGAUACUGGUUGGUGUUCUCUUUUCUUCCAGAAGCAUAUGGGGUAAAUACUUGAAUAUGGACAAUAAAAAUGGACUGGAGGAUUUUGAACAAGGAUAUAGUGAUGAAAUGUUCAGAUUCCAUCGACGCUACAUUGAACGUUCGACACUGCGAAGGAGCUGCAGUGGAUAUAUUCUUUGUGUCAUAUUCGUUUUGUAUUAAAACUGUUUGAAGAAGAAUUUUUUGUUGUGGGAUACACAUGGAGACCUCAGAUGUUUUUAUGUUUUUCUUGACGCUUAGGGACAGCGGGGUCUAGGUAAGGCGAGGUCCUUUUACAGAUCCGAUGAUUUGAUCAGUCUGAAUUGGGACAUUGUUUUGAUUUUAUUUUGAUUCUGAGGCUGUCAUGUGUAUUCGAGUACACCAAGACAUUACAUGGAUUGAUAAAAAGAUUUUUAAUUGAUCUGGAGUGCCAAGGUGGUCGCCUAGGGCAGAGGGGCCGUGAGAGAAUUUUCCUGUCUAGAUUGAUUGAUGGAUAUUUGGAAAGAAGCUGCCAGAAAGGUUUUUCGCUCUCACACUCCAUAAAAUGUUUGUUUACAUUUCCUAAUAUUGUUCACACUCUAUGAAAACUUGUUAUUUUGUCAUAAUCUUACUCUUUUUGUUUCGAGACUUAAUUAGUCUCGAAGGGGGGAAAUAUGAGGUAUAUGGCCAUCUUAUUGUAUCUGCAUAUUCUAUAUGAUUUGUAUGUAAGCUUUGGGUAACAAAGAAACCCAGAUGAACUUUAGCCUACUUUCAGAAGACACAUCUGGAAAAAGCAUUAUCAAUGGACUCUUAGACAGAGCCAGUUGGCAUGAAGCCAUUGGUCAGUUAUUGAUCACACCCCAAUUCAUGGAAUAUACACAUGUGGCACACACACAAAGAACUUUAGAGUGACUUUUGAGAAUCUGGGAAACUGGUCGCUCUCCGGGCUCU